UGGAAGUCAAUGUCCCAAGACUAUACCUGGAGGAGUUGGGGAUGGCUUUAUACAUGGGGUGAGGCUUGAGAAAACAUGGUGCUCAUAAGGCCAAAAGACUUUGGUAGUGGUAGUAUUGGCUCACGUUUCCUUUCAGAUAGAUUGAAAACCAUGUGCAAAGGCAAAGGAGGUGAGAGAAAGCACUCAACCCCCAAGGAAAAUAGGCCGAGGCCAGAUCAAAAAGGUCUUUAGAUAUGACACCAAAUGUCUCAACCUUCUUUCAGCUGAUGGUGUGGUGAGCGGUUCCAACACAAUACAUGCUUUGGCAACUAUUGUCACAUGCAGACCAUCUUGAGUCACAUAACGUCUUGACUUUCUUAGAUUCAAAAUAUUUUUAUAUCUUUUUUCUACUAUGUAUCCAAAGCACUUAGUUGAAUAGUUUUAUUUUAUGCCUACUUCAUGAAUACUUGACUUCUAAGAAAUAACUUUUCUUUCUCUAGCCUAUUGUAUUUACCCUACAGCCUAGCAUAGAUACACACCUAAAAAUAAUUUUUCUGGACUCAGCCUGGGAGUGAGGCUUAAAUGGCAAUUUAUUCCUGCCUCCAGCUUAUUAAAGAAAUUCCCCAGUCCCCUAUCGUCCCCUUCAUCAAUUUUGAUAAGAGUCAUCCAGAUCCAGUGACUCAGGGACAAAACAAUCACCACCUCAAGUGUUUCAUUCAAUCCUACAGACUAGAGCUCCAGGAAGACUGAAUAGAGACACCCAGGAGAGCUUUCCUGGUUGACAGCACUCCCUGCCUAUCGCCACACAUUGAUGCCAGGAGGGUGAGGUGAACUCACUUCAAGGCGAGAGGGCCGUUGAAGCUUCUGUUUGAAACCCUCUCAGACUCUGCCCUAAGCAUCUCUUCCUCUGGCUGAUUUUAAUCUGUAUCCUUUCCCUGCAAUAAACCAAAGCCAUGGGUGUAACUGUUCUGUGAGCCCUUCUAGUAAAUUUUCAAAACUGAGGGUAGUUUGUGGAUCCCCCCGCCAACCUUGAGGUUCAUGUCAGAAGUAAGAGAGGUCUUGGGGACUGUAUCCUCUAACUGUCUUGGGCAAACUCUAUUCCUCUAAACUCUUUUUUUUUUUUUAACUUUUUACACUGAUAUUCUAGAUUGUUUUUCAAUCAGUAAAGCAAACCUGAUAAAGAAGUUCUAAGAAUCAGGCCCUUCAUACCAUUUAUAGUGGAGGUUGCCUGGCAUUCUGUGUAUCAUUCUAGUUCUUAGCAUGCACAGCUAUCUCCUCUGGAUUCCAUGAGGCAGGAUUCAUCUCAGUUCCCUCUAGCACAGUGGCUAACAGAGCAGGUACUCAGAAGUGCCUGUGACUAGAGUCACAUAUAAGACAGGGUCUGUUCUCAGGAGCUCAGCAUGCACAUGUGGAGACUUCACAGGAAAAUGUAAGGACUUUCACAUUGGUGGCAUCUAGUUUCAAAGAGAAUGGCGAGUGUCUCAGUCAGCUAGGGCUGCCAUAGUAAAAUUCCACACUUCUGUUGGCGUAAGCAACAGAAAUGUACUUGCUCACAGUUCUGGAGACUGGAAGUCCAAGAUCAUAGUGCCAGCAAGGUCAUGCUCUGGUGAAGCAUCUCUUCCUGUCUUGUAAACAGACAUCAUAUUGUGUGUGUUCACAUGGCCUUUGCUUGGUGCAUCUGCAGAGAAAGAGAGGGAGAGAAAGACAAAGAGAUGGAGAGAGAGCUGUUUCUUAUAAGGGCACUAAUCCUAUCAUGGGAGCCUUACCCUCAUGACCUCAUCUCAACCUAAUGACCCUCCCAAAGCCCUGUCUCUAACUACCAUCGCAUUGCGGGCUAGGGCUUCCACAUAGGAAUUUUGGGGGGACAAAAUUCUAUUUAUAGCAGUGACUUAAUCUGAGGUGACCCAAGCAGCUUUGAAUAGGAUUGGGCCUGGUGGACACAAGAGGAAUGGAAAACAGGGUCUGAAGGUGUCGCUUGCAGGGUGACCCCAGGGCCCAGAAUGCCCAUGUCUUCUGCUCCUUAAUCUCCAUGUCCCAAGAGGUGCAUAAGGGGACACUGGGGACACAGAAAAGCCACGUCUUCAUCAGCGGAGGAAAUAGCUCAGGAAAACUCCUAUGCGUUCUUUGGUUUCCCUCAUUAUUAAGACCAAUCAUAGGAAAAUGAGAAAGGAAAAUCCACUCUUCCACCCGAUAUGUGUGUUCUUGUGACUCCCACCUGAUGGAGACGGUUGCUAGGAAACUGUGACCACAGUCUGCAGAUUCUGUCAAGGAGAAAGGACCCCCUCACCCCUGAGUUCUCCUUGAAACUCACAAAGUGCUUAGCUGCAGCCUGUGGUGCAGCAUUCAGGAGAGUUAAUGCUGGCAAUUCACAGAGAAGGGAACUGAAGAUUAGGGGCAUCAGGUAGGCAGCUGGUCAUGGCACCAGCGUGUGGCUUGGAGCCAGCUCCCCUGCUGCCCAGGGAGGUGCUGUCUCUAUUCCAUUGCACUGCCCUCAAGAAGAGGGACCUAGUUCAAAACCAGAAAGGUGAGGCUGCCAUGGUCUGCCCUUUUGGGGCACCUCUGGAAGAGGGUACCUCUUCACCGAAUGUCUUCCUUUGUGUGUUCUCACAGGAUGGCAAUCCCAGGUCUGGAUUAAUGCCUGUGUCUGCUGAAAAACAGUGGGACAGACAGUGCUGGUCCAUGGCUGCCUUCAAAAUGCUACUAAAUUUCUGUCUGCCAUAAAGUGGAGAGAAAAAGAGUGCAAAACUAAAACGGGAAGUUUCCUCAUCUAGAAAACAACGAUGAUGAUGAUGUCAGUGAUAACCUAUUUUGUACGUUCUCAUAAAUGUUUUUUAGGGUUUGAAGCAACAUGGAUCUCUCAAAUGUGAGCACCAAGACUGAAAACCACUAAGGAUAAUGAGAAGCUGUCUUUGUGCACACAUUUUGGUCUCCUCCCAUCCAUGCUGGAAAUAGCCACUUCAAUAUCAUCAGAAGGGUAUAAUGCUGGGAGACACUCUCUGGCCUCAUGGAGUUCCCUGUCCAGUUGGAUGGACACAAAGGCAAGAAGACACAGGGAGCGUGACAGCAGCUAUGAGAGGUGUUGGAGCCUGCGGCUGGGGUGGGCGCGGUGCCGGAAGGCUUCCUGAAGGGAAGGGCUUCUCCACCAGAUCCUAAAAACCAACUGGAACAGACUUUUUCCUCCUGCUAUUGGGCAUCAGAAGCCCAAGUUCUCUGGCCUUUGGACUCCAAGACCUGCAACAGUGCCAUGGUUUCCCUCCUGGCCCCAGUGGAUUUCAGUGCUGACUGAAAGUUACACCAUCAGCUUCCUUGAUUCUGAGGCCUUUGGGCAUGGACUGAGUCACCCUGCCAGCUACCCCGGUUCUCCAUAAUCAUGUUAGACAGUUCCCGUAAGUCCCUUCUUGUUAUCUCUCUAUGUAUCCUAUUGGCUCUGUGUCUCUGGAGAAUCCUCACUAAUACAUAUCCUUUGAGUUGGAUAGAAUUCUCUCCAUUUACAGAUGAGAAAACUGUGCCUCAGGGAGGCUUAAUGCUCAAAUUCAUUCGGCUAUUAAAUGGAGAGCCCCAGUUGGAAUCCAGGCCCACCGGACAUGUACUGUCUACCUGCCUUGGGUGCUGUUCCCAAGGGGCAUGAGUGUUCAUGGGUGGCAAUGGAAUCCCUAGUCCAGUUCAGUGGCGCUUACCUUUUGAAAGUUUAGAGACCUCAGGAACCUCAUGCUGAUUGGAAAUGUGCUUUUUCCUGCCUGACCUUUGAUACGGUUUCACUGUGUCCCUACCCAAAUCGCAUGUUGAAUGGUGAUCCUGAGUGUUGGAGGUGAGACCUGGUGGGAGGUGAUUGGAUCAUGGGGGUGGUUUCUAAUGGUUUAGCACCA
Molecule: long non-coding RNA, 3845 nt
Filed under: Homo sapiens (human)
Lineage: Eukaryota; Metazoa; Chordata; Mammalia; Primates; Hominidae
Description: HSALNT0300168
Source: RNAcentral